UACGCAGGGGGCUAGCGUUGCUCGGAAUCACUGGGCGUAAAGGGCGCGUAGGCGGCCUGAUCAGUCGGGGGUGAAAGCCUGUGGCUCAACCACAGAAUGGCCUUCGAUACUGUCGGGCUUGAGACCGGAAGAGGUAAGUGGAACUGCGAGUGUAGAGGUGAAAUUCGUAGAUAUUCGCAAGAACACCAGUGGCGAAGGCGGCUUACUGGUCCGGAUCUGACGCUGAGGCGCGAAAGCGUGGGGAGCAAACAGG
Molecule: ribosomal RNA, 253 nt
Filed under: uncultured bacterium
Lineage: Bacteria
Description: partial 16S ribosomal RNA
Rfam family: Bacterial small subunit ribosomal RNA
Source: RNAcentral